GACGAACGCUGGCGGCGUGCUUAACACAUGCAAGUCGAACGGAAAGGCCCUGCUUUUGUGGGGUGCUCGAGUGGCGAACGGGUGAGUAACACGUGAGUAACCUGCCCUUGACUUUGGGAUAACUUCAGGAAACUGGGGCUAAUACCGCAUAGGAGCUCCUGCUGCAUGGGGGGGGUUGGAAAGUUUCGGCGGUUGGGGAUGGACUAGCGGCUUAUCAGCUUGUUGGUGGGGUAGUGGCUUACCAAGGCUUUGACGGGUAGCCGGCAUGAGAGGGGGAACGGCCACAUGGGUCCUGCGAUACGCCCCAGACUCCUACGGGAGGCAGCAGUGGGGAAUAUUGCACAAUGGGGCGAAGCCUGAGGCAGCAGCGCCGCGUGCGUGAUGACGGCCUUCGGGUUGUGAACCGCUUUCGCCUGUGACGAAGCGUGAGUGACGGUAAUGGGUAAAGAAGCACCGGCUAACUACGUG
Molecule: ribosomal RNA, 468 nt
Filed under: uncultured bacterium
Lineage: Bacteria
Description: partial 16S ribosomal RNA
Rfam family: Bacterial small subunit ribosomal RNA
Source: RNAcentral